AUAUUUCAGCAACAUUUGUACCCAGAUUGCAACAAUACAGGAAGAUUAGCAUGGCACCUGUGCACCGAUGACAUGCAAAUUCUUGUAUGCUUCUCAUUUUAC
Small nuclear RNA from Mustela putorius furo (domestic ferret), 102 nucleotides. The record is from Ensembl. NCBI's taxonomy places the organism in Eukaryota, Metazoa, Chordata, Mammalia, Carnivora, Mustelidae.